UCAUUUCUGUGUAUGAAUUCACAGAAGAUAUUGUGGCUGAUGUCAUUUUUGAUGGCCUCGAAGAAAAAUACAGGAGUGAACUACCAGAAGAAUGUUUAAAGCAGUUAAGUGCAUUGGUCAAGUGCUCUGGUUUCAAAUUUCAAGAAGCUUUAAUGUCUGCUUUGAAGAAGAUUGUAUUUCGGUAUAUCCAGUCAGGAUUUGCCAGCCAAGAUGAGAAACUGGCGCCCUUACUCAUGGAGAAAACUCUGUGGCCACAGGGAGUUUAUGAAGAUGCAGUUGCUAAAAGUAGUAAUGCAGAUGCUGGACUACUUCAUGAUGCGCACUGCAUUGAACACAUUCACUGUACCAUUGUCUUCAUCGCUGAAAGUUUUCAGGAGCUGAAAAUGAAGGAGGAGAAGAGAUCAUCACUGUUUCAUCCUGUUCCAAAGCAGAUGGAGAAGAAACAACAACGUAAGAAAAAAGCAGUGGGCUUUCGGAAGAAGUAAUAAAGACUGGUUCACAGAAACUGAAGACAAAGGAUAGAAGACAGGUGUUUGUGCAUGAAAUGAGUUGAAUAACUUAUGAAAAGAAAUUGGAGCUAUGUUUGUAAUGAGGCACAUCUUCAUCAUACACUGAGUUUGAGUGUGUUUUAAUUUGUUUUUAUGAUUAAUGCAUCUAUAGCAUUACUUAUGUAUAUUACAUGUAUUUCUUAUGCAUAUCACGUUUCAUUUCUCUAUGUACUUAUAUUACUAUUGGUAAUGAAACUUGAAACCUAAAAUGAUAGUGGUAUUUGGUGUCUAUGUUGUCUGUAAUUAACUGAACUGUAUCUAAUAUGCUUAUGUUUGUGCAGUUUUGUUCUGACUAAUAUUGACCCUCUUGCAGAGGCCAAAUUGGGCCUCAGUUAUUUGAACCUGUUGUUUAUUAUAGCCAACCAAUCCCCACAUGUCUUUGCUGAUCCAAACUAGAUUACUGAUGUCUUCAGUCUUGUCCCAUAGAUAUGGACUACUUUAAUUGGAUAUAUAUUUUUUCAAUUACAUAUCUGGACAAGAAACCAUUUUUAAAGUUUUCACCUGCAUUUAAAUUUUUUUUAAACUCUGAUACACCAACAUGCAGUCAUGCAUGUAUGUGCCAACUUGAAAAUUUUAUUGAUACCAGCAACAAAACAAAGAAACUACUGAUAUUGCCUUUAUCAGUAUUCUGUAAAUAAGGAAAUAAUGUUCCGGUUUCUUAAAAAUAUGCCACAUGUCAUGACCUUGAACAAAUCUAUUGAUGUUGAUAUGGACCUAAAACUCUUGUACUUUGUGCAUACAAUUGCUUUGAUGAUAUUACUCAUUUGAAUAUUUUAUUUGUAUUUAUACUCAUGGAAACGAAUAAGGGAACACAUGAAAGUACAAGUGUUCCUUUAUGCUUUCCAGGUUGCUUCAACAAGGUAUUUAUUGCACUGUGAGCGAAAUUCUGGAAAUAAAUAAAGGAACACUUGUACUUUCAUGUGUUCCCUUAUUUGUUUCUAUGAGUAUAUGAACCUGAUACAUCAUAUGUUGAUGUGACCAUUAUAUAAUGCUAAUGUAAAUAUCAAGUAAACCCAAUGUUGGUUUCGAUAGCAAAAUAUGAUGUAAAUAUGGACCUGAUACAGUGGUAUCCUACAGAUAUAUCCUUUCCCUAUGUGACCUGCUCAUAUAUUAUUCAUAAAUGACUUAAGUUUACAUGGCCUU
Molecule: long non-coding RNA, 1691 nt
Organism: Haliotis rubra (blacklip abalone)
Lineage: Eukaryota; Metazoa; Mollusca; Gastropoda; Lepetellida; Haliotidae
Exons: 3
Source: RefSeq, a predicted model, not a curated record